This 2903-nucleotide ribosomal RNA is filed under the name Escherichia coli 08BKT055439. Its description in RNAcentral is "bacterial LSU rRNA". It matches the Rfam family "Bacterial large subunit ribosomal RNA". Lineage: Bacteria; Pseudomonadati; Pseudomonadota; Gammaproteobacteria; Enterobacterales; Enterobacteriaceae. The record is from RNAcentral.
UUAAGCGACUAAGCGUACACGGUGGAUGCCCUGGCAGUCAGAGGCGAUGAAGGACGUGCUAAUCUGCGAUAAGCGUCGGUAAGGUGAUAUGAACCGUUAUAACCGGCGAUUUCCGAAUGGGGAAACCCAGUGUGAUUCGUCACACUAUCAUUAACUGAAUCCAUAGGUUAAUGAGGCGAACCGGGGGAACUGAAACAUCUAAGUACCCCGAGGAAAAGAAAUCAACCGAGAUUCCCCCAGUAGCGGCGAGCGAACGGGGAGGAGCCCAGAGCCUGAAUCAGUGUGUGUGUUAGUGGAAGCGUCUGGAAAGGCGCGCGAUACAGGGUGACAGCCCCGUACACAAAAAUGCACAUGCUGUGAGCUCGAUGAGUAGGGCGGGACACGUGGUAUCCUGUCUGAAUAUGGGGGGACCAUCCUCCAAGGCUAAAUACUCCUGACUGACCGAUAGUGAACCAGUACCGUGAGGGAAAGGCGAAAAGAACCCCGGCGAGGGGAGUGAAAAAGAACCUGAAACCGUGUACGUACAAGCAGUGGGAGCACAGAGCAAUCUGUGUGACUGCGUACCUUUUGUAUAAUGGGUCAGCGACUUAUAUUCUGUAGCAAGGUUAACCGAAUAGGGGAGCCGAAGGGAAACCGAGUCUUAACCGGGCGUUAAGUUGCAGGGUAUAGACCCGAAACCCGGUGAUCUAGCCAUGGGCAGGUUGAAGGUUGGGUAACACUAACUGGAGGACCGAACCGACUAAUGUUGAAAAAUUAGCGGAUGACUUGUGGCUGGGGGUGAAAGGCCAAUCAAACCGGGAGAUAGCUGGUUCUCCCCGAAAGCUAUUUAGGUAGCGCCUCGUGAAUUCAUCUCCGGGGGUAGAGCACUGUUUCGGCAAGGGGGUCAUCCCGACUUACCAACCCGAUGCAAACUGCGAAUACCGGAGAAUGUUAUCACGGGAGACACACGGCGGGUGCUAACGUCCGUCGUGAAGAGGGAAACAACCCAGACCGCCAGCUAAGGUCCCAAAGUCAUGGUUAAGUGGGAAACGAUGUGGGAAGGCCCAGACAGCCAGGAUGUUGGCUUAGAAGCAGCCAUCAUUUAAAGAAAGCGUAAUAGCUCACUGGUCGAGUCGGCCUGCGCGGAAGAUGUAACGGGGCUAAACCAUGCACCGAAGCUGCGGCAGCGACACUGUGUGUUGUUGGGUAGGGGAGCGUUCUGUAAGCCUGUGAAGGUGUGCUGUGAGGCAUGCUGGAGGUAUCAGAAGUGCGAAUGCUGACAUAAGUAACGAUAAAGCGGGUGAAAAGCCCGCUCGCCGGAAGACCAAGGGUUCCUGUCCAACGUUAAUCGGGGCAGGGUGAGUCGACCCCUAAGGCGAGGCCGAAAGGCGUAGUCGAUGGGAAACAGGUUAAUAUUCCUGUACUUGGUGUUACUGCGAAGGGGGGACGGAGAAGGCUAUGUUGGCCGGGCGACGGUUGUCCCGGUUUAAGCGUGUAGGCUGGUUUUCCAGGCAAAUCCGGAAAAUCAAGGCUGAGGCGUGAUGACGAGGCACUACGGUGCUGAAGCAACAAAUGCCCUGCUUCCAGGAAAAGCCUCUAAGCAUCAGGUAACAUCAAAUCGUACCCCAAACCGACACAGGUGGUCAGGUAGAGAAUACCAAGGCGCUUGAGAGAACUCGGGUGAAGGAACUAGGCAAAAUGGUGCCGUAACUUCGGGAGAAGGCACGCUGAUAUGUAGGUGAAGUCCCUCGCGGAUGGAGCUGAAAUCAGUCGAAGAUACCAGCUGGCUGCAACUGUUUAUUAAAAACACAGCACUGUGCAAACACGAAAGUGGACGUAUACGGUGUGACGCCUGCCCGGUGCCGGAAGGUUAAUUGAUGGGGUCAGCGCAAGCGAAGCUCUUGAUCGAAGCCCCGGUAAACGGCGGCCGUAACUAUAACGGUCCUAAGGUAGCGAAAUUCCUUGUCGGGUAAGUUCCGACCUGCACGAAUGGCGUAAUGAUGGCCAGGCUGUCUCCACCCGAGACUCAGUGAAAUUGAACUCGCUGUGAAGAUGCAGUGUACCCGCGGCAAGACGGAAAGACCCCGUGAACCUUUACUAUAGCUUGACACUGAACAUUGAGCCUUGAUGUGUAGGAUAGGUGGGAGGCUUUGAAGUGUGGACGCCAGUCUGCAUGGAGCCGACCUUGAAAUACCACCCUUUAAUGUUUGAUGUUCUAACGUGGACCCGUGAUCCGGGUUGCGGACAGUGUCUGGUGGGUAGUUUGACUGGGGCGGUCUCCUCCUAAAGAGUAACGGAGGAGCACGAAGGUUGGCUAAUCCUGGUCGGACAUCAGGAGGUUAGUGCAAUGGCAUAAGCCAGCUUGACUGCGAGCGUGACGGCGCGAGCAGGUGCGAAAGCAGGUCAUAGUGAUCCGGUGGUUCUGAAUGGAAGGGCCAUCGCUCAACGGAUAAAAGGUACUCCGGGGAUAACAGGCUGAUACCGCCCAAGAGUUCAUAUCGACGGCGGUGUUUGGCACCUCGAUGUCGGCUCAUCACAUCCUGGGGCUGAAGUAGGUCCCAAGGGUAUGGCUGUUCGCCAUUUAAAGUGGUACGCGAGCUGGGUUUAGAACGUCGUGAGACAGUUCGGUCCCUAUCUGCCGUGGGCGCUGGAGAACUGAGGGGGGCUGCUCCUAGUACGAGAGGACCGGAGUGGACGCAUCACUGGUGUUCGGGUUGUCAUGCCAAUGGCACUGCCCGGUAGCUAAAUGCGGAAGAGAUAAGUGCUGAAAGCAUCUAAGCACGAAACUUGCCCCGAGAUGAGUUCUCCCUGACCCUUUAAGGGUCCUGAAGGAACGUUGAAGACGACGACGUUGAUAGGCCGGGCGUGUAAGCGCAGCGAUGCGUUGAGCUAACCGGUACUAAUGAACCGUGAGGCUUAACCUU